GUUCAUAUUCACCCCCAGGAAGAAUAUGCUAUGUGUUUUUUUCUUUUUUUUUCUUCACAUUUUCUGACAAGCGAGCGCUUAGAUAUUGUCUUUUUAACAUUUUUAAUACAUUCGUAGAAUGUUUAGGGAAUUGCGUAUAUAGGAAGGCAUUUUGUGAAAAUUCUGUAGUAAUAUAUAGAGUGGGAAAGCGGCUGUGCGUUUGGACAAUUAACAGACACUGCAGUACAUAAAACCUAAUAAAAACAUCUGUCUCGUCCAGGACCGGAGUCUACGCAGAUUGGUGGGCCUUUUAGCCAAUCAGAGGUACGGUAGGACCUAUAUGCAAACAAAGCCAUUUGCCACACGGGCCUGCCAUCAUUCACUUUGAACUGGACUGUGUGUUUACAGGUAUUUGCAACAGCGAGACAUUAGAAUGCAUUCGGCAAAAGCCACAAAAUACACACCUGAAUGGAUUUCUGCAAAUAUGUAAAUACCACGGGAGAGUCCUCUUACGUUUGGGAACUUGCCAGUCCUAUUGGUCAAACAACCAUGAAAAGGUAGACUCUCUCUCUCUCAGUUAUACACAUCAACAACCAUGAAAAGGUAGACUCU
Molecule: long non-coding RNA, 591 nt
Filed under: Salmo salar (Atlantic salmon)
Lineage: Eukaryota; Metazoa; Chordata; Actinopteri; Salmoniformes; Salmonidae
Description: lncRNA (ENSSSAG00000107089.1)
Source: RNAcentral